GCGCCCUUAGCUCAGCUGGAUAGAGCAACGGCCUUCUAAGCCGUAGGUCACACGUUCGAAUCCUGCCGGGUGCG
Molecule: transfer RNA, 74 nt
Filed under: methanotrophic endosymbiont of Bathymodiolus puteoserpentis (Logatchev)
Lineage: Bacteria; Pseudomonadati; Pseudomonadota; Gammaproteobacteria
Rfam family: tRNA
About the family: Transfer RNA (tRNA) molecules are approximately 80 nucleotides in length. Their secondary structure includes four short double-helical elements and three loops (D, anti-codon, and T loops).
Source: Rfam by way of RNAcentral